Molecule: ribosomal RNA, 481 nt
Filed under: uncultured bacterium
Lineage: Bacteria
Description: partial 16S ribosomal RNA
Rfam family: Bacterial small subunit ribosomal RNA
Source: RNAcentral
AUUGAACGCUGGCGGCAUGCUCUACACAUGCAAGUCGAACGGUAACAGGCCGCAAGGUGCUGACGAGUGGCGAACGGGUGAGUAAUGCAUCGGAACGUGCCCAGUCGUGGGGGAUAACUACUCGAAAGAGUAGCUAAUACCGCAUACGAUCUAUGGAUGAAAGCGGGGGACCGUAAGGCCUCGCGCGAUUGGAGCGGCCGAUGUCAGAUUAGGUAGUUGGUGGGGUAAAGGCUCACCAAGCCAACGAUCUGUAGCUGGUCUGAGAGGACGACCAGCCACACUGGGACUGAGACACGGCCCAGACUCCUACGGGAGGCAGCAGUGGGGAAUUUUGGACAGUGGGCGCAAGCCUGAUCCAGCAAUGCCGCGUGCAGGAAGAAGGCCUUCGGGUUGUAAACUGCUUUUGUACGGAACGAAACGGCUCUGGUUAAUACCCGGGGCUAAUGACGGUACCGUAAGAAUAAGCACCGGCUAACUACGU